RNAcentral lists this long non-coding RNA (454 nucleotides) under Gopherus evgoodei (Goodes thornscrub tortoise). RNAcentral describes it as "lncRNA (ENSGEVG00005008839.1)". The record is from RNAcentral. Lineage: Eukaryota; Metazoa; Chordata; Testudines; Testudinidae.
GGGGCGCUUGCUCUUCUAACGCGCGGCUCGGGGACAGCUCUAGGCCAAACCAACCGAGAAGAGCGUGCGACAGACCAUUGGGGGAGAGUAACCUGCUUGGAAGAGCCCACUGGGUUUGGGCGGGAGAGCUGUUUGGGCGAGCCCACUAGGAUUGGAAGAGAUAAUCAGUUUCAAAAGGACCUUGAUAUAUCUGCUUCCCUAGAAAGCUGCUUCUGAGCAAGUCAACUUCUGCAACAGAUAGCAAAAGCGACAACUUUCCUUUUGCAACGUGUAUGAUCUUUGAGCAAUCACUUCAACUCAUUGUGCCGGCUUCCUUAUAAUACAGGUAAUAGUGCGUAUGUACCACAUCUGAGUGCUAUGAGGUUUAGUUCAGCAAGUUUAUAAAGUAAUUGAAGAUGCUCAGAUGGAAGGAGCUAAAGACAAAGUUUAACAUCACAACUAAAAUAUUCCCCCC